This 28-nucleotide small RNA is filed under the name Bombyx mori (domestic silkworm). RNAcentral's name for it is "ovarian small RNA-38357". Lineage: Eukaryota; Metazoa; Arthropoda; Insecta; Lepidoptera; Bombycidae. The record is from RNAcentral.
UUUCUGCCUAUUUGCGGCUUUGAGUGUC